Molecule: ribosomal RNA, 253 nt
Filed under: uncultured bacterium
Lineage: Bacteria
Description: partial 16S ribosomal RNA
Rfam family: Bacterial small subunit ribosomal RNA
Source: RNAcentral
UACGGAGGGUGCAAGCGUUAUCCGGAUUCACUGGGUUUAAAGGGAGCGUAGGUGGGCUGGUAAGUCAGUGGUGAAAUCUCCGGGCUUAACUCGGAAACUGCCGUUGAUACUAUCAGUCUUGAAUAUUGUGGAGGUAAGCGGAAUAUGUCAUGUAGCGGUGAAAUGCUUAGAUAUGACAUAGAACACCGAUAGCGAAGGCAGCUUGCUACACAAUUAUUGACACUGAGGCUCGAAAGCGUGGGGAGCGAACAGG